GCCUUCGUGGUGUAGUGGUCAGCACCCUCCGUGCGUAUUCAAGAGGUCCGUGGUUCAAGUCCCGGCGACGGCA
RNAcentral lists this transfer RNA (73 nucleotides) under Stegodyphus mimosarum. It matches the Rfam family "tRNA". Rfam says of the family: Transfer RNA (tRNA) molecules are approximately 80 nucleotides in length. Their secondary structure includes four short double-helical elements and three loops (D, anti-codon, and T loops). Lineage: Eukaryota; Metazoa; Arthropoda; Arachnida; Araneae; Eresidae. The record is from Rfam by way of RNAcentral.